RNAcentral lists this long non-coding RNA (554 nucleotides) under Homo sapiens (human). RNAcentral describes it as "non-protein coding lnc-GALC-11:1". Lineage: Eukaryota; Metazoa; Chordata; Mammalia; Primates; Hominidae. The record is from RNAcentral.
UGCAACCUUUUUACAUUUUAGCAAAUUGUGGAUGAGAAAGCUGAAGACAUCACCAAGUUGGGAAGUACAGAACAGGCCAGUAUUAGUAACACAUUUUUUUUUUUUUUUUGACACAGAGUCUCGCACUGUUGCCAAGGCUGGAGUGCAGUGGCGAGAUCUUGACUCUCUGCAAUCUCUGCCUCCCACGUUCAAGCAAUUCUCAGUACCACAAUUAUUAAAUAUUCUCUGUUCACUGAAUUUCCUUUAAAUAUAAAAUUAUUAUUUUUGAAGCUUCUUCUUCCUUUUGCAUUCUGGGAAAAUUAUAUUUCUUUGUAUAGAAAGGAGUCAGUAGUAUCUGGCAGUCCAGACACUCAAUGAUAGGUAUUAUGAAUGAUAAGUAAUUGAAAUGAAUAAAUAAAAUAAAAUAAUAUUAAAUUAUGAACAAAUAAAUUAAUUAAAUGAAUACUUAAAGGUGCUGGAAUAAUAAUGUUAGAAAUAGCAACAGCUGCAGUAGCAGAACAGAAAUAAUAUUCCUUAAAAAGAGCAUGGUAACGUAUUGCCCACCUGGUAUAUGU